GCCCCGCUAGGCAAAUUGGAAAAGCCGUCUGACUUAGGGCCAGGUGCUUGGGGGUUCGACUCCCUCGCGGGGCACCA
Molecule: transfer RNA, 77 nt
Filed under: Mycobacterium avium
Lineage: Bacteria; Bacillati; Actinomycetota; Actinomycetes; Mycobacteriales; Mycobacteriaceae
Description: tRNA-Leu
Rfam family: tRNA
About the family: Transfer RNA (tRNA) molecules are approximately 80 nucleotides in length.
Source: RNAcentral